RNAcentral lists this ribosomal RNA (448 nucleotides) under uncultured bacterium. RNAcentral's name for it is "bacterial SSU rRNA". It matches the Rfam family "Bacterial small subunit ribosomal RNA", at positions 28 to 524 of the family's 1533-position model. The record is from RNAcentral.
GACGAACGCUGGCGGCAGGCUUAACACAUGCAAGUCGAACGCCCCUUCGGGGGAGUGGCAGACGGGUGAGUAACGCGUGGGAAUCUACCCAGUACUACGGAACAACACAGAGAAAUUUGUGCUAAUACCGUAUACGCCCUAAGGGGGAAAGAUUUAUCGGUAUUGGAUGAGCCCGCGUUUGAUUAGCUAGUUGGUGAGGUAACGGCUCACCAAGGCGACGAUCAAUAGCUGGUCUGAGAGGAUGAUCAGCCACACUGGGACUGAGACACGGCCCAGACUCCUACGGGAGGCAGCAGUGGGGAAUAUUGGACAAUGGGCGCAAGCCUGAUCCAGCCAUGCCGCGUGUGUGAUGAAGGCCCUAGGGUUGUAAAGCACUUUCAACGGUGAAGAUAAUGACGGUAACCGUAGAAGAAGCUCCGGCUAACUUCGUGCCAGCCGCCGCGGUAAU